GAUGAACGCUGGCGGCGUGCUUAACACAUGCAAGUCGAACGAAGCGAGAACUAAAGCGCAAGCAGAGGUUCUUGACUGAGUGGCGGACGGGUGAGUAACGCGUGGAUAACCUGCCUUUCACAGGGGGAUAACAGCUGGAAACGGUUGCUAAUACCGCAUGAGCCUCUUUUGUCGCAUGACGGGAGAGGGAAAGAGAAAUCGGUGAGAGAUGGAUCCGCGUCCGAGUAGCUAGUUGGAGGGGUAACAGCCCACCAAGGCGACGAUCGGUAGCCGACCUGAGAGGGUGGACGGCCACAUUGGGACUGAGACACGGCCCAA
Molecule: ribosomal RNA, 318 nt
Filed under: uncultured bacterium
Lineage: Bacteria
Description: bacterial SSU rRNA
Rfam family: Bacterial small subunit ribosomal RNA
Source: RNAcentral